UACGUAGGGUGCAAGCGUUAAUCGGAAUUACUGGGCGUAAAGCGUGCGUAGGCGGUUGCGCAAGACAGGUGUGAAAGCCCCGGGCUCAACCUGGGAAUUGCGGUUGAAACUGGCGGACUAGAAUCUGGCAGAGGGGGGUGGAAUUCCACGUGUAGCAGUGAAAUGCGUAGAGAUGUGGAGGAACACCGAUGGCGAAGGCAGCCCCCUGGGCUGAGAUUGACGCUCAGGCACGAAAGCGUGGGGAGCAAACAGG
Molecule: ribosomal RNA, 253 nt
Filed under: uncultured bacterium
Lineage: Bacteria
Description: partial 16S ribosomal RNA
Rfam family: Bacterial small subunit ribosomal RNA
Source: RNAcentral